Molecule: long non-coding RNA, 1908 nt
Filed under: Phascolarctos cinereus (koala)
Lineage: Eukaryota; Metazoa; Chordata; Mammalia; Diprotodontia; Phascolarctidae
Description: lncRNA (ENSPCIG00000032328.1)
Source: RNAcentral
CUUCUGCAGGCUACCUGUUCCUUGCUCUCCCCCUUCCACCUCCUAAAGUCACGAAUCUUUCCUCCAAUAAGAAAUCAGAUGAUGGAGGCAUGGAGGAGGAGGAGGUCUCUGAAAGGACCAGUCUGGUGGGUGGGGGCUCAGGUGGAAUAGGAGCUCUGGGGUGGAGUUUGGGGGCCUGGGAGGAGUCUAGGGCGGAAGAGGGCUCAUUCCAGAGGCUGAGGCAUUUCGGGUGAUUGGAGGGCAGGGCUUGUGGAGGAGAGGUAGAAAGGGUCCCUAGCUCUUGGCCCUGGGUGUGACUGGAAGACACAGCCCUGCCUGGGCGCCUCAGAGGCUGGGCAGAGGGUGGGAGUUCCCUCCCAGAGUGGGCUGUCUGAAAACAGGAACAUUUGUCGCGAGAUUACUCUGUCUACUUCCCAUGUAGCUGAACUAUUUCCGCCUUCCCUGCGACUGAGAUCUCUGCCUUCUUCCCUAGGAAUUGAGAUCUCUCCGCCUUCCGUUAGAGCUGAAAUCACACUGCCUUCACUUGGACCCGAGAUCUCUGCCUUCUGCACACCAGCUCUGUGGGGUCAGUUCCCAGGUGUGUGUGCUGAAGACCAAGGCCUGGCCUAAGCAGGGAGCCAGGAGACAGAAGGAAUGGCCCCUGGGAGCUGCAGACCCCUACCCCAGCUGAACUAUUUCCGCUUUCCUUGCAACUGAGAUCUCUGCCUUAUUCUCUGGGAAUUGAGAUCUCUCUGCCUUCCUUUAGAGCUGAGAUCACAGUCCUUUCACUUGGACCUGAGAUCUGUGUCUUCUGGACACCAACUCUGUGGGGUAGGUCCCAGGUAGGUCUGAGCCAGCCCCUCACAGACCUGCUGGCUUCUGUUGACUGUUUAUAUUAUUGGGUCUCAUCCUUGUCCUCUGACCACAUGCUUCAGGUCCACCUGGAGCAAUCCUGCUUCCCUAGCCUUGCUGCUGAACAAGGUUCUCGCUGCUAACUUUUUUCCAGACUGGAAUCACUUCCCAUGAGUGUGGGUCACCCUCCCCAGGUUUAGGAUUGGUUCACUUUUCCCAGAAUUCAAACCUUAUUAUCCACAGGGACCAAGGAAUUCCUGUCUUGAGUGAAAGAGAAGUGAAAGGCUUGAGUGAACCCUCGAAUGCAAGAGUAAAGGGCGUGGAUCUGCUUCAAAAGAAUUGGACCACUCAAGCCUUCUUUCAGACAGAGACAAGGUUUAUUGUGUCACCAACAGAAGCAAGGGAGAUUUUAAGAAUCUCUGUAUUCUGUAGGGGCAAAACUGACUUUUUUUUAGGGUAAAAGAUUGUGGGAAGAUUUCAGAUGGGAUGUAGAGGGGCAAAUACCUUGUGGCAAUCUAGAGGUAACUGAGAAAAGGGGUCUAGAAGGGAUUAAGGGGUGGGAAGUAGCCCAGGCUGAUCCAGAGGUAACAGACAAAGGAGGGGCCACAAUGAAAGGACAGUUGAAAGAAUUAUUGAGUAUAUAGGUGGGGAUGCAUGGGAAAGUUCUGGAGCUGGGUUGCUUUUUUGGGGUCCAGGUGCCAUACCCCAUCAGAGGGAGAUCCCUGAUUCAGAAGCCUUUGAGACUUUGACUGGUCUCAUCCCAUCUGGGAUCCCAAGCCACUUCUGCCUUUUGAUUCUCUGAAGGAGAAUGGGGGAAAGGAAGGGGACAGAAGAGAAGGAGUUGGAGAGGGUGUGACCAUCUUUUCCAAGUCUGGUCCUACCCUUAAGUUGCAGUCUCUGCCCUGAGGUCAGGGCCUCACCCCCUGUAAAUUCCUACAGGCUAGCCUCCUGCCCUGGGAUCCUUCUCCCUCCCCAGGUGUGUGUGCUGAAGACCAAGGCCUGGCCCAAGCAGGGAGCCAGGAGACAGAAGGAAUGGCCCCUAGGAGCUGCAGACCCCUACCCCAGGUGAGUGCACUC